RNAcentral lists this ribosomal RNA (492 nucleotides) under uncultured bacterium. RNAcentral describes it as "partial 16S ribosomal RNA". It matches the Rfam family "Bacterial small subunit ribosomal RNA", at positions 29 to 507 of the family's 1533-position model. The record is from RNAcentral.
AGUGAACGCUGGCGGUAGGCCUAACACAUGCAAGUCGAACGGCAGCACAGUAAGAGCUUGCUCUUACGGGUGGCGAGUGGCGGACGGGUGAGGAAUACAUCGGAAUCUACUUUUUCGUGGGGGAUAACGUAGGGAAACUUACGCUAAUACCGCAUACGACCUACGGGUGAAAGCAGGGGAUCUUCGGACCUUGCGCGAUUGAAUGAGCCGAUGUCGGAUUAGUUAGUUGGCGGGGUAAAGGCCCACCAAGGCGACGAUCCGUAGCUGGUCUGAGAGGAUGAUCAGCCACACUGGAACUGAGACACGGUCCAGACUCCUACGGGAGGCAGCAGUGGGGAAUAUUGGACAAUGGGCGCAAGCCUGAUCCAGCCAUACCGCGUGAGUGAAGAAGGCCGUCGGGUUGUAAAGCCCUUUUGUUGGGAAAGAAAAGCAGCAGGUUAAUACCCCGCUGUUCUGACGGUACCCAAAGAAUAAGCACCGGCUAACUUCGUG